GCGAUUAUACCAACAUUAAUGCACUGAAUCCCAUCAAAACUCCGCAGUUUAGCGUGCUUGGGCGAUAGUAUUAGAAUGAGUGAUCCCCUAAGAAGUCAUUGUGCUGCAUCCC
Molecule: non-coding RNA, 112 nt
Organism: Ilex paraguariensis (yerba mate)
Lineage: Eukaryota; Viridiplantae; Streptophyta; Magnoliopsida; Aquifoliales; Aquifoliaceae
Source: the annotation of a GenBank genome assembly